This 253-nucleotide ribosomal RNA is filed under the name uncultured prokaryote. RNAcentral describes it as "partial 16S ribosomal RNA". It matches the Rfam family "Bacterial small subunit ribosomal RNA", at positions 524 to 776 of the family's 1533-position model. The record is from RNAcentral.
UACAGAGGGUGCAAGCGUUAUUCGGAAUCACUGGGCGUAAAGGGUUUGUAGGCGGUUUGUUAAGUCGAAUGUGAAAGCCCAGGGCUCAAUCCUGGAAGUGCAUUCGAUACUGGCAAGCUAGAGUGCAGGAGAGGAAGGCGGAAUUCCAGGUGUAGAGGUGAAAUUCGUAGAUAUCUGGAGGAACAACAGAGGCGAAGGCGGCCUUCUGGACUGUCACUGACGCUGAAAAACGAAAGCGUGGGGAGCAAACAGG